CUGAGACACAGGCACAGAGAGUGCUCUGGCUUAGAUAUUCAACAUUCAUUCCCAAGGGUCGUCUGUUUAAGGUGUUGCCCCAUGCUUAUAGCGCUGCAGGGGCAGAGGUUAGGAGGUUCCAGGCAAAGGUCACUGGGAUAUUCACAUUCCAGCCUUUUUGUCUCAUCUUGCUUCCCAGCCACUACAAAGUGAGCAGGCUUCCUUAGCCACGCCCACCAUGCUGCCGGAGGCCUGGAGCACUGGGCUGAGUAACCACAGACUGAACCCACCACCCAAGAUAAACCUUUUCCACCGUUAAGAAGCCUUAGCGCAGGUGUUUUGUUACAAUAUGAGAAGCUGACUGAUACAAUCAGACACACAUUGAGGCUCAGAUGCCAGAGGCGUACUCUCUCACAGCUCCAGAUGCACAGCCAGAGUCACACACUGACAAAGAGUAGGUAGAAACUCACACCUUCAAAAUACACAAGUGCACGUGCACAUGCACAUGCAUACGCACACGCACACGCACGCACACAGAACAAAGUAAGCGAUAGGAGGCUUUUCCCAUCUUUGUUAGUGUUCUGCUCUGCAGAAAGAGCCCUGAAACGUGGGACGUAACAGGCUAAGGUAGGAUGGAGGAGGGCUUGGCGUGAGGUCGGGUGCAAGGAGAGAAAAGUAAAGAAGACAGGCUUGGAGGUGGGGCUUGUUGGAGCCAGUGUUUGCUGCAGUAAAAAGAAAUACAUCUGGAUCACCUUGGCCGAACCUCAGGGUAUUGAGAAGGAUCCACUUGGUUGGGAAACUAACCAGGCAAAGGAGAAACUUGAACACCACUGUCCCUCUUCUGCCAAGAUGUCGGUUGACCCUCUCUUCAUAAUAAGAGUUCUGAAGUCGUGAAAUGGAUUCCAUUUCUUUUAGGACUUUACUAACGUGGGCAUCAGCCUAGAACGGCAGAUGCUCUGACUGAGCAAGGAGGAGAGUGGUUGAAGCUCUAACCCACGACUCUUUCUCCUUCUCUUCAUUGUCUGAGUAACCAGGACGGCACAGUCUUACACACCAUCUGGGGUUCCUACCCUCUGAUGUUAGCUGUCUUUCUCAAUAAAGGCCCUGGUCAGUUUAUCUCUA
Molecule: long non-coding RNA, 1101 nt
Organism: Mus musculus (house mouse)
Lineage: Eukaryota; Metazoa; Chordata; Mammalia; Rodentia; Muridae
Product: predicted gene, 30734
Exons: 2
Source: RefSeq, a predicted model, not a curated record